AAGGAAUAGUGCUUCCAUUUCUUUUUCUUUUUUCUUUUUUUUUUUUUUUUUUGAGACAGAGUCUUGCUCUGUCAGCCAGGCUGGAGUGCAGUGGUAGGAUCGGCCUAGUGCUUCCAUUUCUAGGGGCUGUUAUCCUGUACUGGUAGUCGUGAAUUCAAAAAUAUAACUUUCCUACUGUGGGCUGCAGUAUUCUCAUCAGAAGUGUAGAUCACGAUGCUACUUCCUG
Molecule: long non-coding RNA, 226 nt
Filed under: Homo sapiens (human)
Lineage: Eukaryota; Metazoa; Chordata; Mammalia; Primates; Hominidae
Description: long non-coding RNA NONHSAT239319
Source: RNAcentral